This 1453-nucleotide ribosomal RNA is filed under the name uncultured organism. Its description in RNAcentral is "SSU rRNA". It matches the Rfam family "Bacterial small subunit ribosomal RNA". The record is from RNAcentral.
GGAUGAACGCUAGCUACAGGCUUAACACAUGCAAGUCGAGGGGCAUCAGGAAGAAAGCUUGCUUUCUUUGCUGGCGACCGGCGCACGGGUGAGUAACACGUAUCCAACCUGCCCUUUACUCGGGGAUAGCCUUUCGAAAGAAAGAUUAAUACCCGAUGGCAUAAUGAUUCCGCAUGGUUUCAUUAUUAAAGGAUUCCGGUAAAGGAUGGGGAUGCGUUCCAUUAGGUUGUUGGUGAGGUAACGGCUCACCAAGCCUUCGAUGGAUAGGGGUUCUGAGAGGAAGGUCCCCCACAUUGGAACUGAGACACGGUCCAAACUCCUACGGGAGGCAGCAGUGAGGAAUAUUGGUCAAUGGGCGCUAGCCUGAACCAGCCAAGUAGCGUGAAGGAUGAAGGCUCUAUGGGUCGUAAACUUCUUUUAUAUAAGAAUAAAGUGCAGUAUGUAUACUGUUUUGUAUGUAUUAUAUGAAUAAGGAUCGGCUAACUCCGUGCCAGCAGCCGCGGUAAUACGGAGGAUCCGAGCGUUAUCCGGAUUUAUUGGGUUUAAAGGGAGCGUAGGUGGACUGGUAAGUCAGUUGUGAAAGUUUGCGGCUCAACCGUAAAAUUGCAGUUGAUACUGUCAGUCUUGAGUACAGUAGAGGUGGGCGGAAUUCGUGGUGUAGCGGUGAAAUGCUUAGAUAUCACGAAGAACUCCGAUUGCGAAGGCAGCUCACUGGACUGCAACUGACACUGAUGCUCGAAAGUGUGGGUAUCAAACAGGAUUAGAUACCCUGGUAGUCCACACAGUAAACGAUGAAUACUCGCUGUUUGCGAUAUACAGUAAGCGGCCAAGCGAAAGCAUUAAGUAUUCCACCUGGGGAGUACGCCGGCAACGGUGAAACUCAAAGGAAUUGACGGGGGCCCGCACAAGCGGAGGAACAUGUGGUUUAAUUCGAUGAUACGCGAGGAACCUUACCCGGGCUUAAAUUGCAGUGGAAUGAUGUGGAAACAUGUCAGUGAGCAAUCACCGCUGUGAAGGUGCUGCAUGGUUGUCGUCAGCUCGUGCCGUGAGGUGUCGGCUUAAGUGCCAUAACGAGCGCAACCCUUAUCUUUAGUUACUAACAGGUCAUGCUGAGGACUCUAGAGAGACUGCCGUCGUAAGAUGUGAGGAAGGUGGGGAUGACGUCAAAUCAGCACGGCCCUUACGUCCGGGGCUACACACGUGUUACAAUGGGGGGUACAGAAGGCAGCUAGCGGGUGACCGUAUGCUAAUCCCAAAAGCCUCUCUCAGUUCGGAUCGAAGUCUGCAACCCGACUUCGUGAAGCUGGAUUCGCUAGUAAUCGCGCAUCAGCCACGGCGCGGUGAAUACGUUCCCGGGCCUUGUACACACCGCCCGUCAAGCCAUGGGAGCCGGGGGUACCUGAAGUACGUAACCGCAAGGAUCGUCCUAGGGUAAAACUGGUGACUGGGGCUA